UUUCGUUUCGUUAGCUUCUCCUCAAUAAAAUACGAAAUAUUAAAGAAUAACAUGUCUUCUAAGGGAUAUAUAAGAAUUCCCGAAAGUCAAAUCCGCCUAGAACGAAGUAAACGGCUGGAAAACAGAAAGUGGCAUAACAAUAUCAUGAAUUUGUUGUUAAGAAAGAAUGUUUGUGGUGCAUGUUUAGGAAUGGAAAAUGAUCUUGUUCACUGGGAUAUUGAAUUUGUUGUAGUGCGAUGCGAGAAUGAGAAUGAAAGCUCUUUGAAGAACAUUAUGAUCUCUACUUUUGGACCGAGUGUUACAAGCAUCAUUCCAACACCAAAUUUUUGCCAAGAAUGUGUAGACACAAUACUGGGCGCUCAUCUCCUGAUACUACAACUAAGAGAAAACUGUAAAAACAUACAGAAACAGUUGAUAGAGAUAUCGCAGCAAAUGAAAUGGACGGCAUAUUUAGAUGAAACGGGAUCUUUGUCGGAAACUAUAUUAAAUAACAAAGCUAUUCAAGAAGAUUAUAACUUAAUUACUGAUUAUAAUGAAACAGAUGAUUUAACAAAUGUAAAUAACUC
Molecule: long non-coding RNA, 566 nt
Organism: Cydia splendana
Lineage: Eukaryota; Metazoa; Arthropoda; Insecta; Lepidoptera; Tortricidae
Exons: 2
Source: RefSeq, a predicted model, not a curated record